This 497-nucleotide ribosomal RNA is filed under the name uncultured bacterium. Its description in RNAcentral is "partial 16S ribosomal RNA". It matches the Rfam family "Bacterial small subunit ribosomal RNA", at positions 28 to 507 of the family's 1533-position model. The record is from RNAcentral.
GAUGAACGCUGGCGGCGUGCCUAAUACAUGCAAGUCGAGCGAACAGAUAAGGAGCUUGCUCCUUUGACGUUAGCGGCGGACGGGUGAGUAACACGUGGAUAACCUACCUAUAAGACUGGGAUAACUUCGGGAAACCGGAGCUAAUACCGGAUAAUAUAUUGAACCGCAUGGUUCUAUAGUGAAAGAUGGUUUUGCUGUCACUUAUAGAUGGAUCCGCGCCGAAUUAGCUAGUUGGUAAGGUAACGGCUUACCAAGGCAACGAUACGUAGCCGACCUGAGAGGGUGAUCGGCCACACUGGAACUGAGACACGGUCCAGACUCCUACGGGAGGCAGCAGUAGGGAAUCUUCCGCAAUGGGCGAAAGCCUGACGGAGCAACGCCGCGUGAGUGAUGAAGGGCUUCGGAUCGUAAAACUCUGUUAUUAGGGAAGAACAAAUGUGUAAGUAACUAUGCACGUCUUGACGGUACCUAAUCAGAAAGCCACGGCUAACUACGUG